CCUACGGGAGGCAGCAGUGGGGAAUAUUGCACAAUGGGGGGAACCCUGAUGCAGCGACGCCGCGUGAGUGAAGAAGUAUUUCGGUAUGUAAAGCUCUAUCAGCAGGGAAGAAAAUGACGGUACCUGACUAAGAAGCCCCGGCUAACUACGUGCCAGCAGCCGCGGUAAUACGUAGGGGGCAAGCGUUAUCCGGAUUUACUGGGUGCAAAGGGAGCGCAGACGGCUGUGCAAGUCUGGAGUGAAAGGCGGGGGCCCAACCCCCGGACUGCUCUGGAAACUGUAAAGCUGGAGUGCAGGAGAGGUAAGCGGAAUUCCUAGUGUAGCGGUGAAAUGCGUAGAUAUUAGGAGGAACACCAGUGGCGAAGGCGGCUUACUGGACUGCAACUGACGUUGAGGCUCGAAAGCGUGGGGAGCAAACAGGAUUAGAUACCCCAGUAGUC
This 440-nucleotide ribosomal RNA is filed under the name uncultured bacterium. RNAcentral's name for it is "partial 16S ribosomal RNA". It matches the Rfam family "Bacterial small subunit ribosomal RNA", at positions 338 to 795 of the family's 1533-position model. The record is from RNAcentral.